GACGAACGCUGGCGGCGUGCUUAACACAUGCAAGUCGAGCGAGAACCUCGGAAGGGGUAACCCUCCCGAGGGGAGAGCGGCGAACGGGUGAGUAACACGUGGGCAACCUGCCCCGGACACCGGGAUAACCCAGGGAAACCUGAGCUAAUACCGGAUACUCCGGCGUGAUCACAUGGUCGUGCCGGGAAAGCUCCGACGGUCCGGGAUGGGCCCGCGGCCUAUCAGCUUGUUGGUGGGGUAACGGCCUACCAAGGCGGCGACGGGUAGCUGGUCUGAGAGGACGGCCAGCCACACUGGGACUGAGAUACGGCCCAGACUCCUACGGGAGGCAGCAGUCGAGAGGCUUCGGCAAUGGGGGAAACCCUGACCGAGCGACGCCGCGUGGAGGAAGAAGGCC
Molecule: ribosomal RNA, 397 nt
Filed under: uncultured bacterium
Lineage: Bacteria
Description: partial 16S ribosomal RNA
Rfam family: Bacterial small subunit ribosomal RNA
Source: RNAcentral